RNAcentral lists this ribosomal RNA (617 nucleotides) under Cortinarius hadrocroceus. Its description in RNAcentral is "eukaryotic LSU rRNA". It matches the Rfam family "Eukaryotic large subunit ribosomal RNA", at positions 1 to 617 of the family's 3401-position model. Lineage: Eukaryota; Fungi; Basidiomycota; Agaricomycetes; Agaricales; Cortinariaceae. The record is from RNAcentral.
GUGACCUCAAAUCAGGUAGGACUACCCGCUGAACUUAAGCAUAUCAAUAAGCGGAGGAAAAGAAACUAACAAGGAUUCCCCUAGUAACUGCGAGUGAAGCGGGAAAAGCUCAAAUUUAAAAUCUGGCAGUCUUUGGCUGUCCGAGUUGUAAUCUAGAGAAGUGUUAUCCGCGCUGGACCGUGUACAAGUCUCCUGGAAUGGAGCSUCAUAGAGGGUGAGAAUCCCGUCUUUGACACGGACUACCAGGGCUUUGUGAUGCGCUCUCAAAGAGUCGAGUUGUUUGGGAAUGCAGCUCAAAAUGGGUGGUAAAUUCCAUCUAAAGCUAAAUAUUGGCGAGAGACCGAUAGCGAACAAGUACCGUGAGGGAAAGAUGAAAAGAACUUUGGAAAGAGAGUUAAACAGUACGUGAAAUUGCUGAAAGGGAAACGCUUGAAGUCAGUCGCGUCGUCCAGGGAUCAACCUUGCUUUUGCUUGGUGCACUUUCUGGUUGACGGGUCAGCAUCAAUUUUGACCAUUGGAAAAAGAUUAAGGGAAUGUGACAUCUUUGGAUGUGUUAUAGCCCUUGGUUGCAUACGAUGGUUGGGAUUGAGGAACUCAGCACGCCGCAAGGCCGGGUU